GUUGACAUUCCAGGACGUGUCUAUAGAUUUCUCUGUGGAUGAGUGGGCCUGCCUGGACCCUGCUCAGCAGACUUUGUAUCGGGAUGUCAUGUUGGAGAACUACAGACACCUGGUCUUCCUAGGUCUUACUCUCUCUAAGCCAGACCUCAUCACCUGUCUGGAGCAAAGCAAAGAACCCUGGAAGGGGAAGGCACACCAGACAGUAGUCAAGCACCCAGCCAUAUCUAACCAUCCUGAGCAAGACCAUUUGCAAGAUCUGGACACAAAUAUUAUAUUCCCAGAGAUAAUCCUGAGGA
Molecule: long non-coding RNA, 296 nt
Organism: Otolemur garnettii (small-eared galago)
Lineage: Eukaryota; Metazoa; Chordata; Mammalia; Primates; Galagidae
Exons: 3
Source: RefSeq, a predicted model, not a curated record